UACACUCUUCCCCUCACCCCUGUAUCGUCACGCUAACGUGAUUGACGCAUCCGAGUAACGACCACAGCAAAGUUCGUUUUAGAAUACGUCAAAGUAAGAAGAUGGAGAAACAAAGGCUCCUUAAAAGAAUUAAGGAGCUGAAGGAGGAGGUCAAAUUCUACAAAAUGGAAGUAAAAAUGGGUUUGAGUAGUUUAAAAAACAUUAUUUGCAAAGACUAUGAAAGCUGGAGUAAAGAGAAUCUAAUUAU
Long non-coding RNA from Protopterus annectens (West African lungfish), 247 nucleotides. RefSeq lists it as uncharacterized. Lineage: Eukaryota; Metazoa; Chordata; Ceratodontiformes; Protopteridae. The record is from RefSeq and is a predicted model, not a curated record. The transcript has 3 exons.